RNAcentral lists this ribosomal RNA (488 nucleotides) under uncultured bacterium. RNAcentral describes it as "partial 16S ribosomal RNA". It matches the Rfam family "Bacterial small subunit ribosomal RNA", at positions 30 to 505 of the family's 1533-position model. The record is from RNAcentral.
AUUGAACGCUGGCGGCAGGCCUAACACAUGCAAGUCGAACGGUAACAGGAAGACGCUUGCUUCUUUGCUGACGAGUGGCGGACGGGUGAGUAAUGUCUGGGAAACUGCCUGAUGGAGGGGGAUAACUACUGGAAACGGUAGCUAAUACCGCAUAACGUCGCAAGACCAAAGAGGGGGACCUUCGGGCCUCUUGCCAUCGGAUGUGCCCAGAUGGGAUUAGCUAGUAGGUGGGGUAACGGCUCACCUAGGCGACGAUCCCUAGCUGGUCUGAGAGGAUGACCAGCCACACUGGAACUGAGACACGGUCCAGACUCCUACGGGAGGCAGCAGUGGGGAAUAUUGCACAAGGGGCGCAAGCCUGAUGCAGCCAUGCCGCGUGUAUGAAGAAGGCCUUCGGGUUGUAAAGUACUUUCAGCGGGGAGGAAGGGAGUAAAGUUAAUACCUUUGCUCAUUGACGUUACCCGCAGAAGAAGCACCGGCUAACUCCG